This 328-nucleotide ribosomal RNA is filed under the name uncultured bacterium. RNAcentral describes it as "bacterial SSU rRNA". It matches the Rfam family "Bacterial small subunit ribosomal RNA", at positions 28 to 341 of the family's 1533-position model. The record is from RNAcentral.
GACGAACGCUGGCGGCGUGCUUAACACAUGCAAGUCGAACGGGGUGUUUAUUUCGGUAAACACCAAGUGGCGAACGGGUGAGUAACGCGUAAGCAAUCUACCUUCAAGAUGGGGACAACACUUCGAAAGGGGUGCUAAUACCGAAUGAAUGUAAGAGUAUCGCAUGAGACACUUACUAAAGGAGGCCUCUGAAAAUGCUUCCGCUUGAAGAUGAGCUUGCGUCUGAUUAGCUAGUUGGUGAGGGUAAAGGCCCACCAAGGCGACGAUCAGUAGCCGGUCUGAGAGGAUGAACGGCCACAUUGGGACUGAGACACGGCCCAGACUCCUA